Molecule: long non-coding RNA, 423 nt
Organism: Triticum dicoccoides
Lineage: Eukaryota; Viridiplantae; Streptophyta; Magnoliopsida; Poales; Poaceae
Exons: 4
Source: RefSeq, a predicted model, not a curated record
UGGCCGGAGGAUAGGCCAUCCCGCCGGUCCAUUCCCGCCCCACCGCGAGGGAGGAGACCGACCAGUUGCGCCUCCCCGCCGGUCGCCGCCCGCCACCCCAAGGAUCAAGGCCGGCCGCGCCGGUCCCCGUCGGUCGCUGCUCCGGAUCCAGGCCGCCCACCGCCCCGCCCCCGUCAGCUAUGACGUACCCCGCCGCCAGAAGGCCAGGAGGCCGCCAUGGAGGCCCGUCCCGAGCUCGCCUUGCUUCUCCUCCGCAUAGGGAAGUUCUUUCUACAGGACAGAAAUUUGUGGUGGAUAAAGAGGCGAGAGCCAACAAGUAAUUGAUCUCUUUUCCUAAUGGUCGAACAACUGCAGCUUCAGUUUAAGCAAUAAGAGCCAUAUUCAGAUUUGCUUCAGAUCACGGAAGCUUGGGUUGAUGGAGUG